AUUGAACGCUGGCGGCAGGCCUAACACAUGCAAGUCGAACGAGUGGCGGACGGGUGAGUAAUGUCUGGGAAACUGCUUGAUGGCGGGGGAUAACUACUGGAAAAGGUAGCUAAUACCGCAUACCAUCAGAUGUGCCCAGAUGGGAUUAGCUGGUUGGUGGGGUAACGGCUCACCAAGGAGACGAUCCCUAGCUGGUCUGAGAGGAUGACCAGCCACCCUGGAACUGAGACACGGUCCAGACUCCUACGGGAGGCAGCAGUGGGGAAUAUUGGACAAGGGGCGCAACCCUGCUGCAGCCAUGCCGCGUGUAUGAAGAAGGCCUUCGGGUUUGAAAGUACUUUCAGCGGGGAGGCGUUACCCGCAGAAGAAGCACCGGCUAACUCCGUGCCAGCAGCCGCGGUAAUUC
RNAcentral lists this ribosomal RNA (406 nucleotides) under uncultured bacterium. RNAcentral's name for it is "partial 16S ribosomal RNA". It matches the Rfam family "Bacterial small subunit ribosomal RNA", at positions 30 to 526 of the family's 1533-position model. The record is from RNAcentral.